UCUAGUGUGAGGGGUUAUGGCAGUAGUCUAGUGUGAGGGGUUAUGGCAGUAGUCUAGUGUGAGGGGUUAUGGCAGUAGUCUAGUGUGAGGGGUUAUGGCAGUAGUCUAGUGUGAGGGGUUAUGGCAGUAGUCUAGUGUGAGGGGUUAUGGCAGUAGUCUAGGGGUUAUGGCAGGGGAAGUCUAGGGGUUAUGGCAGGGGAACAGUGUUACAGUAGUCUAGUUGUGAGGGUUAUGGCAGUAGUCUAGGGGUUAUAGCAGGGAAACAGUGUUACAGUAGUCUAGUGUGAGGGGUUAUGGCAGGGGAACAGUGUUACAGUAGUCUAGUGUGAGGGGUUAUGGCAGGGGAACAGUGUUACAGUAGUCUAGUGUGAGGGGGUUAUGGCAGGGGAACAGUGUUACAGUAGUCUAGUGUGAGGGGUUAUGGCAGGGGAACAGUGUUACAGUAGUCUAGUGG
Oncorhynchus tshawytscha (Chinook salmon) is the source of this 454-nucleotide long non-coding RNA. NCBI's taxonomy places the organism in Eukaryota, Metazoa, Chordata, Actinopteri, Salmoniformes, Salmonidae. The record is from Ensembl.